This 631-nucleotide long non-coding RNA is filed under the name Junco hyemalis (dark-eyed junco). RNAcentral's name for it is "lncRNA (ENSJHYG00000010662.1)". The record is from RNAcentral. Lineage: Eukaryota; Metazoa; Chordata; Aves; Passeriformes; Passerellidae.
GACAGGCCCUGGGGACAUUUGGUGACAAUUUGGGGACAUUGGGGCCCUGCAGGGGUGGCCCAGGCCACUGGGACAGGCCCUGGGGACAUUUGGUGACACUUUGGGGACAUUGGGGCCCUGCUGGGCAGGGCUGGGUGGGGGAGGGGCUGAUAAGGCUUAUCAGGAACCCCCAGCUGGGACAGGGUGGGGACACCUGGCACCGUGUCACCAAUGUCACCAGUGUCACCAAUGUCACCAGUGUGUCCCCAGGGCCUGGCAGGGGACAGGGACAGGGGACAGGGAGGGGACAUUGAGCUCGUGCCACCCCUCAGGUCCUUGUCACCAGUGACGGGGAGGUGACAUCAGUGUGUGUCACCGGUGACAGGGAGGGGACAUUGGGACUGUGUCACCAAUGAUGGGGGGGUGACAUCACCAGUGACAGGGAGGGGACACUGAGCCCAUGUCACCGGUGGGGGGAUGACAUUGAGUCCGUGUCACCCCUGGUGUCCUUGUCACCAAUGGGGGGGUGACAUCGGGUCCAUGUCACUCUCAGGGUCCAUGUCACCAAUGGAGGGGUGACAUCGAGUCUCUGUCACCAGCAGGGGGAGUGACAUCGGGUCUGUGUCACCACUAGGGUGGCCGUGUCACCCAU